AAUGCUAAUUACUAAAUUAUUGCACAAGUCCUAUAAAAGGCAACACACCAAAAGCUUCUCAGUCAAUUCUAAAAUAAUCUGCAGAAAUGAAACUCUUGGCGUUAGUAUUGGGUCUGAUUCUCAUUUGCGUGACACGCGAUCCGUAUAAUUCAAUAGACUUUAAAUAAUUUAACGUACAAAAAGAAUUUGUAAGAAAAGCAUUUUUUUCUAAUUGCACACUUACACUAAAAGUACGUAAUAAACAUAUAUUGGUUUUUAAAUCACUUAUGAAAAUGAUGCGAUUGGCAGUGCCUAGUAGGCACUGCCUACACAAUUUGUCAGACUCAUAGAUGGAAUCUACAUUGUAAUGUUCGUUUAUUUGGUAAUUCGACUAACUAGUUUAAUAUUCACUACAAUUAAUUGUUAUAGAAUUUUUCUAGUAACUUAAAAGGCUUGUUAAAUUUAUUGAUAAUCAUGAAUGUUAGAUUUAAACAAUUAUAAAGUAUAACUGUCUACAAAAUGUAGAAAUUUUUUUUGCAUCUUGAAAGAUUAUUUAACUAGAAUACACCAAGAUGAAGGUCUUUACAGCCAUUGCUUUACCAACAGUCCAUUCCAGUGCGUUUACAAUCGAUUUAUAUUUAUUUGAAGUGGUAAAUCGAUUAGAUCAAUAUACAGGAAAUACGGAAUGUGUUAAAUUUAAAUUAAAUGCUAAUUUUCCGCAUUUCUACAAAAGUCCUAUAAAAGGCGACACACAAUAAGGGUUCCAAUCAAUUCUAAAAUAAUUUGCAGAAAUGAAACUCUUGGUAAGUUCCAGGCGUUAGUAUUGGGUCUGUGCCUCAUUUGCAGCGUUUAUUCCGCACCGCAGUUUUGGGAGGUGUUUCCCAAUACACUCGGACGCUAAGUUUUUUCCGACUCCAUAUAGUAUACAUGUUACUAUGCAUAAAUGAUCGGUUGCAAUCAAAUAUAAUAUAUUUGAACAUGAAUGAGCCCAACCGUGGAAAAGUGGAUAUUUGGCCUUCUUCUAAAUUAAAUAUUAUUUAAAAUAUAAACAACUUGUUUUUUGAA
Molecule: long non-coding RNA, 1044 nt
Organism: Drosophila nasuta
Lineage: Eukaryota; Metazoa; Arthropoda; Insecta; Diptera; Drosophilidae
Exons: 3
Source: RefSeq, a predicted model, not a curated record